Molecule: transfer RNA, 76 nt
Filed under: Corynebacterium meridianum
Lineage: Bacteria; Bacillati; Actinomycetota; Actinomycetes; Mycobacteriales; Corynebacteriaceae
Also listed under: 4 other names
Description: Corynebacterium sp. CCM 8863 tRNA-Arg
Rfam family: tRNA
About the family: Transfer RNA (tRNA) molecules are approximately 80 nucleotides in length. Their secondary structure includes four short double-helical elements and three loops (D, anti-codon, and T loops).
Source: RNAcentral
GCCUCCGUAGCUCAGGGGAUAGAGCAUUGGUUUCCGGUACCAAAGGUCGCACGUUCGAUUCGUGUCGGGGGCACCA